UACGGGGGGGGCAAGCGUUGUUCGGAAUUACUGGGCGUAAAGGGCGCGUAGGCGGUCCGCUAAGUUAGAUGUGAAAACUCUGGGCUCAACCCAGAGCCUGCAUCUAAUACUGACGGGCUAGAGUUCUGGAGGGGGUAGCGGAAUUCCUGGUGUAGCGGUGAAAUGCGUAGAUAUCAGGAGGAACACCGGUGGCGAAGGCAGCCCCCUGGGUCAACACUGACGCUCAUGCACGAAAGCGUGGGGAGCAAACAGG
Molecule: ribosomal RNA, 253 nt
Filed under: uncultured bacterium
Lineage: Bacteria
Description: partial 16S ribosomal RNA
Rfam family: Bacterial small subunit ribosomal RNA
Source: RNAcentral